RNAcentral lists this ribosomal RNA (400 nucleotides) under uncultured bacterium. RNAcentral's name for it is "bacterial SSU rRNA". It matches the Rfam family "Bacterial small subunit ribosomal RNA", at positions 355 to 764 of the family's 1533-position model. The record is from RNAcentral.
UAGGGAAUAUUGCGCAAUGGGCGGAAGCCUGACGCAGCGACGCCGCGUGAGCGAAGAAGGCCUUCGGGUCGUAAAGCUCUGUCCUUGGGGAAGAAGGCGAAAGCUUGACGGUACCCAAGAAGAAAGCCCCGGCUAACUACGUGCCAGCAGCCGCGGUAAUACGUAGGGGGCGAGCGUUGUCCGGAAUUACUGGGCGUAAAGGGUGCGUAGGCGGCCUUUUAAGUCAGAUGUGAAAGGCUGCGGCUUAACCGCAGGACUGCAUUUGAAACUGGAAGGCUUGAGUGUCGGAGAGGGUAGUGGAAUUCCCAGUGUAGCGGUGAAAUGCGUAGAUAUUGGGAGGAACACCAGUGGCGAAGGCGACUACCUGGACGAUAACUGACGCUGAGGCACGAAAGCUAGG